GCAGUCGUGGCUGAGCGGUUAAGGCGAUGGACUAGAAAUCCAUUGGGGUCUCCCCUCGCAGGUUCAUAUCAUGCCGGCUGCG
This 82-nucleotide transfer RNA is filed under the name Rhipicephalus microplus (southern cattle tick). Its description in RNAcentral is "tRNA-Ser". It matches the Rfam family "tRNA". From Rfam's summary of the family: Transfer RNA (tRNA) molecules are approximately 80 nucleotides in length. Their secondary structure includes four short double-helical elements and three loops (D, anti-codon, and T loops). The record is from Rfam by way of RNAcentral. Lineage: Eukaryota; Metazoa; Arthropoda; Arachnida; Ixodida; Ixodidae.